CAGAAGUCCAGGUACAGUGUGACUCAGCUGCUGUGUCUUCCUGAGUCUCAAGCUAUUGAAAUCAAGGUGUUGGCGCAGCAGUCUCUUCUGCAGUCUCUGUGGAUGAAUUCAUUUUCAAGCUGACUCAGGCUGUAGGCCCACUCAGUUUCUUGCAGUUGUAGGAUAGAGGUGCUUGUUGCUAUGCUGAUAGACAGCAGGGGCCCAGUCUUUGUUCUGGAAUCUGCCUGAUUCCUUCUCAUGCUUUCCGUGUGGCCGUGAUCCUGUAACAGCAGGUUGAGUCUCUCACUUCACAUCUCUCUGACUUCACCUUCUGCCAAAUCUCUCUGACUCCAGCUGGAGGAAUUUAUCUGCUUCUAAAGACGUCACAAACAGGUCACAAGUUGCACAAAGGGCUCCCGUGGACACUCCUGAUCCAGAACAGCAGAAGGCACCUUGGGCUGAGGGCACCUGCAAGGGAGGACUGUGUGUGUCUGCACCGGGAUCUACACUGCACUGGCACUGCAUAAGCCCCAGCACCUGAGAAACAACCAUCCUUCAAAGAAAGGACAAUUCCCCAAAUGAUGGAGCAUAGAUUUCCAUCACACAUGCAGCACAGGUGUUAAAACUGGAUUCUAGAAAAAUUCAUUUUUACUUUUCACACACUUAUAUCUGUGGGUAGAGAAACCACUCACAACAAAUGUUAAGAUACUCUUUCUGUCUUACUACAGACAUUUCCACCUGGUUCUUUCUCAAUUCUAAAAUUUUUAAUUAGUGCAUUUUGACAUAUGUCACUUUAUCUUCAUGUGGUAGGAAAAUUAUUUUCUUUUUGUUUUCUGACUUUGGCAUUGCCUAUGACAUGUUUUUGAGACACUAAGUGGUAUAGUAAUCUUACCCCUAAACAAUGUUAGGUGGAAAGGAAGGCUCAUUUUAGAGUGAGCCAUGUUGGAAGUGUUCCAUUUCAUUACAAUCUGUACCUUCAAGGGACUCUCAGUGAAACAGGAAAACAUGAAAACAAUAAGUUAAGGGCAAGAAUUUAUAUAUAAAUAAAUGGUAACUAGAGCUUCCUGAAGGUGCUUUGGGGCAGCCCAUAAGCAAUAUUUUCCAGGCCAUUGGGGUCUUCAGGGUUGUCUACCCACCCCUGCUGUCAGUCAAGGGUAAAAAUAAAUAACAAAACUGUUCAUCACACCUGAAAUCAAAUAUUUUCUCACAGGAAUGCCAAAUAUUUGAACAAUUAAAUCAAAUUGUGAAGAUAGUGGUCUAAGGUAAGGGUCAGCAAACUUUUUCUUAAAUGUCGCGAUAGUAAAGGGUUUUGACUUUGUGAUCAUGUAUGGCCUCUGUUAUAUACUCACAUGUAUGCCCACACACUUACAACUCUUUAAAAAUGUAAAAUCCAUUCUUAGCUCACGGGUCUACAAAUUAAGGUUGAUAGUUUGCUGACUCCUAGUCUAAGGUGUAGAGGAAAGUUUGCAACUCACGAAAAAUAUUGUUAACUUCCUAAGUCCCAUGGGCCUUGAUGCAUACAUCAGGAGCAGGUGCAGCUACACUGCCUCUCGGGUGGCAGUGGAUGCAGUUGAUGAGGAAUACUUGGUAGUGCUACAAUAAGAGUAUAAAGAAAAAGGGCUCGAUUAUUCCAGGUAAGGUAGGGAAAAGGAUCACGUGGAAAUUGAUGAGUUGGAAUGACAUAUUUUGAGUAUACUUUAUACAAUCUAAAACAAUCACAAAAAGUAUAGAGACAGGUAGAGUUAGCUAGAGAUAGAGAUGCAGAUAGUGGAGAUGAUUGCUCAGUGACAUUAAGGUGUACAGUGUGAAGUUGCUGUUGUCGCAACUGGUUUCAGCUUCCAUGGGCCUUUCAAAAUCUGUGCUUCUAACCAGUCUUAAGAAGUCUAAUACUUAAAGUGUUUUUUCAUACAAAAUCCCCUCAAGUAAACCUUCAGUUUGUAAGCAGCAAAAACAAUGGUCAAUUCUAAACUUGUAGGAAACCUUACUUUGCUGGACUUACUGAGGAGAAAGUAUGUUGUUAUCUAAAAUGGUACCUUCCUAAGAGAUUUUCAGAAAAAUGUUUGCCCUAUGUCAUCUUUUUCCAUAUGUAUUAAUUUUAGAAUUUAUAUAUCCAAAUAAAAUGUUUCAUCAUUGAUUGUAUACUGAUUCUGGAAGGGUAGAUAUUCAGCCACUGCAUAAUCAAAGCCAGGAAACAUGUUUAAAGUCAUCGACAGUUUGAAAGAAGACCUAGUUUGAAAGCAGAAAGAAGUGAUUAUGGAAUUACGCUUGUGAGGGGAUAGACCCAUCUCCUGGUAAGCGCUAGGUCUUUGGAGUAUAGUAUUAAUGCAUUUUUUAUAUUGUAUAUGUUCUAUAUGAAUAUACCUUAUAAGUGGUGUGAAGACCCCCAGCUCAGUGAUAACAUAUAAAUGACAUAAAUGAGCUGUCUUACCAUUUGAUAUAGCAAUUUUAUCAGCGUUUUAUCAAGUGGGAGGAGAGCUCAUUUAUUAGAGACUCUAUAAUCCAGACAACUAACUGAUACAGGUAACAGUGAAGUAAACAUUGAGACAUGUUUCCAGUCAUUCACUUACAUUGCAUUUACUGAGCUUCAAUUUUGGUCAGACUGAAGGUAUAUGAUGAGAUUCCAAGGAAAUCUUGGAUAUAAUUAAAACAAGUCUGAUGUAAUUUUUAAAAAUAUUAUGAUUUGUGGCUUUUUCCAAUGUAGGAAAUGACCUUUCCCUAAAUACUCUGUAGUGUGACUUCAAAAUUUCUAUUCCCUGAUUUCAAUACAAUACAAUAUGUAAACAAUAAAAUUUCUAUUUGAACCCUAACAUCUUAUUUAAAUGUUUAUGUGUAGAUCCAAAAUGUUACUGUAUGGGUUUCUACAUCUAUGAGACAGUUACUUACCCCAUUCUUGUCAUCCAGCAAUAGGUGUAACAGUAAAACUACUGCACAGAAUUAUUCACAGAUUAAAGAUGUACAGAUGGUGUAAAUAGUAUCUGGCCCACAGCAAACACUCAAGAAAUGUUGGCUAUUUAUGUUAGAUAUUUUAAUUUUAAAAUUCCAUAUCUUGAUAAAAGCUAGGGCAGGGUAGAGUAAGAAUUAUUUUAUAGCUAUGAAAAUAUCUCUUUAUUCAGAUCAGCUCUUUUCAGAGCAUUAAAAAAUACUGAAGAAGAGAAAUAAUAUAAUUUAGCAGUGACAUUAUAUUUUCGAAGCUGCUAUAAUUGUACAUAUGCUCUCCAUUUCCUUACCAUUCUAUGAACAGUAAGAAACAGUUUCUAAUGUAUAAAAUUACUUGUUCUAAAACAUACUUAACCUUUAAAAUAUAUCUCUUAGAUAACUGAUAAUUCCUGCUUUGUUGCUGAAAACUCACUACUCUUAA
This 3337-nucleotide long non-coding RNA is filed under the name Homo sapiens (human). Its description in RNAcentral is "HSALNT0122846". Lineage: Eukaryota; Metazoa; Chordata; Mammalia; Primates; Hominidae. The record is from RNAcentral.